UCCUAUUUAAAAGCCAAACAGCCCCACAAUGUCAGACAUUGCUGGAUGGCUGCAGCAGCUGUACACACUCUACACUGCUUGUGUUUUCUUCCCAUCUUCCGAUCCCUCUACUGACCUCUCUGGCCACUUUUUGUCAUUACAGGUAAAAAUAUAUAUAUAUACAAUCAAUAAACUUUUACGCUGUGACACUUCGGGCCAAAGGUCUUGCUACGCUGUGAUUGAUAUUAGAUGCCAGUCCUCACUCCUCUCCUUACCAUCUGAGGCUUGCCAUGCGUCCCGAUUGCGAUGUCCUUUUAAGGGGUGUGCUGAGCCGUUGAAACUUCUCGGGUGAAAAGUUGUCUGUUACACUUUCUGACUCCACACAUACUUC
This is a long non-coding RNA of Rana temporaria (common frog), 370 nucleotides long. RefSeq lists it as uncharacterized. NCBI's taxonomy places the organism in Eukaryota, Metazoa, Chordata, Amphibia, Anura, Ranidae. The record is from RefSeq and is a predicted model, not a curated record. The transcript is spliced from 4 exons.